UCAGGCCUAACACAUGCAAGUCGAGCGGAAACGAGUUAUCUGAACCUUCGGGGAACGAUAACGGCGUCGAGCGGCGGACGGGUGAGUAAUGCCUAGGAAAUUGCCCUGAUGUGGGGGAUAACCAUUGGAAACGAUGGCUAAUACCGCAUGAUGCCUACGGGCCAAAGAGGGGGACCUUCGGGCCUCUCGCGUCAGGAUAUGCCUAGGUGGGACUAGCUAGUUGGUGAGGUAAGGGCUCACCAAGGCGACGAUCCCUAGCUGGUCUGAGAGGAUGAUCAGCCACACUGGAACUGAGACACGGUCCAGACUCCUACGGGAGGCAGCAGUGGGGAAUAUUGCACAAUGGGCGCAAGCCUGAUGCAGCCAUGCCGCGUGUGUGAAGAAGGCCUUCGGGUUGUAAAGCACUUUCAGUCGUGAGGAAGGUAGUGUAGUUAAUAGCUGCAUUAUUUGACGUUAGCGACAGAAGAAGCACCGGCUAACUCCGUGCCAGCAGCCGCGGUAAUACGGAGGGUGCGAGCGUUAAUCGGAAUUACUGGGCGUAAAGCGCAUGCAGGUGGUUUGUUAAGUCAGAUGUGAAAGCCCGGGGCUCAACCUCGGAAUAGCAUUUGAAACUGGCAGACUAGAGUACUGUAGAGGGGGGUAGAAUUUCA
RNAcentral lists this ribosomal RNA (650 nucleotides) under uncultured bacterium. RNAcentral's name for it is "bacterial SSU rRNA". It matches the Rfam family "Bacterial small subunit ribosomal RNA", at positions 42 to 671 of the family's 1533-position model. The record is from RNAcentral.